GAGCUUCAUUCCUCUCUCAACCCGGGUUUUGAGAUGUGAGUGUGGAGCUCGCUGCUGAAGGCCGACCCACGAGCGCAUAAACGCCUGAGACUGACCCAGGUACGCUAACAAAUGGUAACGGAGCUCAGGCCCGCCUGUUUAGGGGAUGGAAUGUCACGAACUAUGUGUAGCCUGGGUUAGUACCACCUCGCUUGCGGGAGGGGGUCGUGGCCGGCUUAUAAGGGCGAGCUUCAUUCCUCUCUCAACCCGGGUUUUGAGAUGUGAGUGUGGAGCUCGCUGCUGAAGGCCGACCCACGAGCGCAUAAACGCCUGAGACUGGCCCAGGUUGUCGGCGUUUCGAGACAGGGGGGUCCCUAAGCCGACGAGUGAGUGUGCUGCGUGCCCCAGCCCAGAUGGGUCGAGCGCGUGGGCGAGCGCGAAGGGGGGAGAGGCGAGGUGGCCGGAGCCGAGCGUGAGAGAGGUGGAAGUUCCGCGGCCUUCGUGUUCGUCCCGCGCCCAGGUCAGGUGCGCUUGCAGUAGGGGGGUUACAAGCGUCCACGCGGGUGAGGGAAGCGAGCGGCCCCAAGAGAGCGCCUGUCCCGUCCUCGGUCCCGCGCGGCCAACCUUCUCUAAGAAGGCCCUGGUCCUCCCUUUUAUAGUCGUAAGGAGAGGAUCCAGGUGUACAAUGGGGGGUGUAGCAGAGUGCUACGUGUCUAGCGGAGGGAGAGCUAGCGCCCUAGGUACAUGCCAAUGUGGCAGCCGGAGAGAUCUGGGCACCCUGCUGGCGUGAUGUCGUGGCUGUCGGAGGUGCGGCGGAGCCUGGUGGAGGGACAGCUGUUGGAGCGGUCGAAUCCCUGCUGACGUCGUCCUGCUUUCGUAAGAGAGCUGGGGGCCGCCGUCGUCAUAGAGCUUGUGGAGCGCCAUCAUUGCCCUCCGGCGGAGCUGGCCGGAUGGGACGCCGGUCUUGUUCUUCGUGACCCGAGUCGAUUCGGGGUAGGAUGAUGAUGGCGCUUCCUGUCGACGUGGCGGUCUGUGCCCUAGGCAGGGCGACGUGGGGGUUCCUCCGAAGCCGAGGUUGAGUCUGCCUUCCGUUGCCGUGGCCGAGCCCGAGCCAUGGGGUCGGGCGAGGCGGAAGUCGUUCGGCCGAGGCCAGGGCGGAGUCCGAGCCCUGGGGUCGGGCGAGGCGGAAGUCGUUCGGCCGAGGCCAGGGCGGAGUCCGAGCCCUGGGGUCGGGCGAGGCGGAAGUUGUUCGGCCGAGGCCAGGGCGGAGUCCGAGCCCUGGGGUCGGGCGAGGCGGAGUUUCGUCGUCUUCCGGGUCUUAGCCCGAGUCCGAGCCCUGGGGUCGGGCGAAGCGGAGUUUCGUCGUCUUCCGGGUCUUAGCCCGAGUCCGAGCCCUGGGGUCGGGCGGAGCGGAGUUUCGUCGUCUUCCGGGUCUUAGCCCGAGUCCGAGCCCUGGGGUCGGGCGGAGCGGAGUUCGCCGUCUUCCGGGUCUUAGCCCGAGUCCGAGCCCUGGGGUCGGGCGGAGCGGAGUUUCGUCGUCUUCCGGGUCUUAGCCCGAGUCCGAGCCCUGGGGUCGGGCGGGGCGGAGUUCGCCGUCUUCCGGGUCUUAGCCCGAGUCCGAGCCCUGGGGUCGGGCGGGGCGGAGUUCGCCGUGGCGCCUUUGGCAAGGCCUACUGCCUGUCAGACUCACUCUGUCGAGUGGCACUGCAGUCGGAGUGGCGCAGGCGGCGCUGUCCUUCUGUCAGACUGGCCAGUGGAGAGGUAGAGUGACGGCGGUCACCUCGGCUCUGCCGGGGGCGCGUGUCAGGAUAGAGGUGUCAGGCCACCUUUGCGUUAAAUGCCCCUGCAAUUUGGUCAGUCGGUGUGGUGAUUUAGUCAAGGUUGCUUCUGAGCGAAGCCAAGGCCUUGGGCGAGCCGGUGAUGUGUCCGCCAUAAAAAGGGGGCCUCGGGCGAGACGGAAGUCUCUCGAGGUCGGCUGCCUUUGGCCGAGGCUAGGCUCGGGUGAAGCGUGAUCGAGUCACUCGUGUGGACUGAUCCCUGACUUAAUCGUACCCAUCAGGCCUUUGCAGCUUUAUGCUGAUGGGGGUUACCAGCUGAGAAUUAGGCGCCUUGAGGGUACCCCUAAUUAUGGUCCCCGACAGUAGCCCCCGAGCCUCGAAGGGAGUGUUAGCACUCGCUUGGAGGCUUUUGUCGCACUUUUUUGCAAGGGGACCAGCCUUUCUCGGUUGCAUUUCGUUCCGGUGGGUGCGCGCGAGCGCACCCGCCGGGUGUAGCCCCCGAGGCCUCGGAGGAGUGGUUACACUCCUUCGAGGUCUUAAUACUUCGCUUAACGCUUCGGCUGGUCUGGUCGUUCCCUCAUGCGAACUGGCCGUAGCCCGGGUGCACGGUCGGGGCCCAAGCUCUCGGGCUGGUAUGUUGACGCUGUCAACGAUUUGGCCGGAGCCGGUUUUUGCGAGAGCAGCCCCCGAGCCUCUGCACAGGGCGAGAGGACGAUCAGGGACAGACUCGGCUUUUUACAUACGCCCCUACAUCGCCUUUCCGCAAGGAGGAGGGGGGAGUGCGCCAUGUUACCCUCGAUGGGCACCGAACAUGGUGUCUCCGGUGAGCUGCAAGCGGGUAAUCCGAGUGGACGUCCGUGCCCCGUUCGUUGGGGGUCGGCUAGGGGCCCAGAGGCACGCCCAAAAGUACCUGCGGGUGAUUUGCCGGACCUGGUCCCCUGGCGACGGGGUCCGAGGGCUCGAUGCCUCCCUCCGAUGGGAUUCCGUUACAAGAUCGUUCCCGCUGGUCUCGGAAAUGUCCUAGGGUACCUCGGGAGCGCAGCCCGAGCCUCGGUUAUGUAUCGAACGUACCCCUGGUCAUCCCUCGCUCGGCGUCUGAGGCGACUGUGAACCCUUCGGGGGCCAGCCUUCGAACCCCUGAUCAGUAAUGGGCACGGAGCCCGAGUAGCCUGAGGCGGCCAUGGAACCCUUCGGGGGGCUGGCCUUCGAACCCCUGACCAGUAGUGGGUGUCGGGCCCACGCGAUCUGAGGCGGCUGUUGAACCCUUCGGAGGGCCAGCCUUCGAACCCCUGAUCAGUAGUGGGGGGCUCGGAGCCCGGUUCCUUCGCGGAGAAGGAUCCCUUUCGGGGUAUCCCCCUUUCCCGGUCCCUGUUGCAAGAGAUAGAGAAAGAGGAAAACGGCAAAGGAUACGAAAUCGGACGACGUGGCGUACCUUUUCUGAAGCGGUUAUUACGGCGAAGGUGAAGCGUCGCGCGCUCCUCCUGCCAGAAGCGCCGCGUGUCCCGCCGCGGAGUUAAUGCGACUGGGCGAGUGGUUGGCGGGGCGGCCGUUACGCGCGUGCGAUCCGUUCGAGGAACGGGUCACGGGUGCACCGUCUCCACGCCGUGAGAGGAGGCUCUCUUGCUGUCCCAGGAUGGGACGUGAGCCUGGCUGACGACGUGACCGCUGCGCCCGCCCGCCUGCCACCGCUAUUACUGCCGGCCCUCUUUCGGUCGCUUUGACCGACGCGCCAGGCUGGCGCUGUUGGGUCGCCUCGAGUCGCGGCAUUGGCUCCGCAACCGAAGAGGCGCGAUGGUGGCACAAGUGGCGGUGCGGUUGCUUGCAUGCAGCAACUGGCGCGCCGGUUGCUCGACGCGUGGGCCUGGGUUCCCAAGCUGGCGUGUCAGAAGUUGGAGAAGCGCGUCCAUCUGGCGCGGUUGCAUGCCGCCUGCAUGGCUGCCCGCCCCUUCUGCCCGUUGGUCUGGGCGGAAAUGGGGGGUCGCUUGUAACCGCUGGACGGUCGUGCGCACCACGCGCGGCGGUUCGGCUUCUUCUGCCCUGAGCCGACUUGCAUGACAUGCGGGACCCAGCCCCCGAGUCGCAGGGGAGGGCCUUGGAGCGUGUUGGAGAAGACUCGGCCCGCGGCGCCUGGGGGCGCACGUAGGGGGAGUUGCCUUUAAAAGGAGGGAGGCUCCUUUCGUAAGGCAACCAUGUCUUCUUCCUCCCUUAAGCGUCGGGUCUUCCCGUCUUCCAAGCCCCCGGAUGGGGGGUAUCCGCCGCCUUUCCGCCUCCUCGUUGGAGGAACGCAACUCCAUGGGAGUUGGUACCUCUCAGCCGUCGUUCGGCUUCAAGGAUUUUCAUUACGCAGCCUGGCCACGCUCCGCCACCGGUGGCCACCCAAGAUGGUGACCUCUAGUUCGACGGUGGGGAAAGCGGGCCAGGCCGCGGCCUCUACUCCUCCCUCGGCCUCAAGGAUUUUCGUCAUCCAGGCCAAGAUGGAAGAUGAGGCGAGUCGGGGGGCCGCCCCCGCGUGGGUCGGCUGCCCUUUUCUUCCCCCCGCGCCCGGGGGUGAAGGGCGUCCUUGAGCCCCACGGAGACUUCCUCCAGCCAUGCCGGGAUAUGUAGGGCGCUAGUGGCCCUGGAUCUCCGUCUCCCUGCCUGAAUGGCUGGUUCUCGUCCUCAGCGGGGGGAGUCCUCCUGCCGUGACACCUGCCCCAAAGCUGCUGCCUAAGCCGCUUCGCUGUCUAGGGCAGGGGUGGUUGUCGUCGCGGUUGGAACGGGCGGCAGUGAGCCGCUCAUCGUUCUUCAGUUACUCCGCAGGCCUUCCCCCUCGGAGGGGGGUUGUUCGUACCUGCGGAGGUGGGAACCGGAGUUCCGUUGGUAGUGGCAUCUCGAAUGCCAGUGUUUUUCGUUCAUUGUGGCUGUCGGGGCCUGAACAUGUAUGUAAUUUCGGCACGGAGCCGUGUUUUUUCCUCAUUUUCGAGCACUAAGUCUCGCCUGUUGAUUAUCUGAACCGCUUUACCAAGCAUGAGUCGCCCCGUGUCAAGGUGACGGGUGAGGUAUCCGUAUCCCGGAGGCGUAGGAAUCCCUCGGCCCGUUCGGCCUUGUUGUCUGGGGUUCCUCUAGCUUAGUUAAAGAGACCCCUCGGCCGCCCUUCGGUGGACCGAGGCCAGGGGUAGCGAUAUCAGUAUGAACAGAGGCGGAGUUGGCUCGAGAAUGGGAACCUGGUUGGCCGGAGCCUAGUCGUGUUGUCCGUCAGCGGAGCCGACGCCAAAGUCGAUCAGUCGAGGCCUCGGGUCGGGCUGGCGCCCUUGGAAGCCGGUUGACCGAGGCCCCAGGGGUAACCGGUUGAGCCGCCUGCUCGGGCCGGAUUCCCGGAGGAGCCCCUGGACCGCGGCGCCGCCCGAGGCUGGGUCGGGCUUUGCUGAAGACGUCGUCGAUGCCGAGGGUGCUACGGCUCCCUUCAGCGUGAAGACCUGAGCCUGCAGGAUCAGAUCAUCUUGUAGCGUGUGCUUUCUGCGGCCACCGAGGCCAGAAGAACACGCCCUCGCCGCGCUCGCGAAGCUGCGUCUUUUUUCCUCUUGUUUCGAGCAUCUGGACUCUGUCGGUAACAGGGAUGUUUGUGUGAGCGAGAGUUGCUUUUCGCGGAAGGGACGAGUGAGGUAUCCGUAUCCCCGAGGCGUGGGAAUCCCUCGGCUCGGUCGGCCUUGCCGCUUACGCGUACUUUCACCCGUCCAUGAGGCCCUGUCCCCGACUUAGUCGAGAAGGCUUGAAGGACUGCUUCGGCAGGAGAGCUUCCGAACGUGAAGACUUGUUCGGUCCACGGAAUCGCUUUAUCCGAGCGCAAGUUACUUAUCGCAGAAGGUGAUGAGUGAGGUAUCCGUAUCCCGGAGGCGUAGGAGUCCCUCGGCUCGGUCAGCCUUGGCUGCUUACGUGUACUCCGUCGUUUCCAGGAUCCGCUUUCCGAAGUAGUCAAGAGGCACGAAAGAAAUCCUGCUAAAAAGAGAUCCUUUUUCGAGGAAAAAUUCGACGCAGAGGGGGUCUCCCCCCUUUAGCCCCCGAGGGAGGGUCGGGCUUCGCCGAGGCUAAGCCGACCCUUCCUUGACGACUAAACUUUGCGUAGGUGCGAGGUAUAUGAACAACUUGAAAACAUCUUAAGGGUAGAAGCGACGUAGCUGUUUGAUGUUCCAAGCGUUGCCGUAGAUCUCGCCUUGAUUGCUGGCCAGCUUGUAUGUUCCGGGCUUCAGAACUUUGGCGAUGACGAAUGGCCCUUCCCAGGGGGGCGUGAGCUUGUGCCUCCCUUGGGCGUCUUGUCGCAGCCGAAGCACCAGGUCGCCCACCUGGAGUUCUCGGGACCGGACCCCUCGGGCGUGGUAGCGUCGCAGGGACUGUUGGUACCGCGCCGAGUGUAGCAAGGCCCUGUCCCGAGCUUCCUCCAGCUGGUCCAGCGAUUCCUCUCGGCUGGCUUGGUUGCUUUGUUCGGUGUAGGCCCUCGCCCUCGGGGAGCCGUAUUCCAGGUCAGUGGGCAAGACAGCUUCAGCCCCGUAGACCAGGAAAAACGGCGUGAAGCCCGUGGCACGACUCGGCGUCGUCCUUAGGCUCCAGACCACCGAGGGGAGUUCCUUCAUCCAUCGCCUGCCGAACUUGUUGAGGUCGUUGUAGAUCCGAGGCUUGAGCCCUUGUAGAAUCAUGCCGUUGGCACGCUCUACCUGCCCAUUCGACAUGGGAUGAGCCACGGCGGCCCAGUCCACCCGGAUAUGGUGAUCUUCGCAAAAAUCCAAGAAUUUUUUGUCGGUGAACUGGGUGCCGUUGUCGGUGAUGAUGGAGUUCGGGACUCCGAAGCGAUGGAUGAUGUUGGUGAAGAAUGCCACCGCCUGCUCGGACCCGAUGCUGUUCAGAGGUCGGACCUCGAUCCACUUGGAGAAUUUGUCGAUGGCGACCAGCAGGUGCGUGUAGCCCCCGGGCGCCUUCUGCAAGGGACCGACGAGGUCCAGACCCCAUACAGCGAAGGGCCAGGUGAUGGGUAUUGUCUGCAGAGCCUGAGCGGGCAGGUGUGUCCGCUUCGCAUAGAAUUGGCACCCUUCGCAGGUGCGGACAAUUCUAGUGGCGUCAGCCACCGCCGUUGGCCAGUAGAAGCCUUGCCGGAAAGCAUUUCCAACAAGGGCUCGGGGUGCUGCGUGGUGGCCGCAAGCCCCCGAGUGUACUUCUUGCAGCAGUUCCCGACCUUCGGCGAUGGAGAUGCAUCGCUGGAGGAUGCCCGAGGGGCUGCGAUGGUAGAGCUCCUCUUCGUCGCCCAGCAAGACGAAUGACUUGGCGCGUCGCGCUACCCGCCGAGCCUCGACUUGGUCGAGGGGUAGCUCUCCUCGACGGAGAUAUUGCAGGUACGGGGCCUGCCAAUCCUGGUCUGGCGCGGCCCCGCUCUGCCCUUCCUCGACGUUCAAUGCCCCGCCCUCGGGGGCUGAGGGUACCUCGGGCUGGGCCGAGGGUGCCUCGGGCUGAACCGAGGGUACCUCGGGCUGAGCCGAGGGUACCUCGGGCUGAGCCGAGGGUACCUCGGGCUGAGCCGAGGGUACCUCAGGCUCGGGCGCGUCGUCGAGCUUGACGGAGGGUUGAUGCAGAUCCCGGGAGAAGACGUCCGGGGGAACUGUCGUUCGCCCCGAGGCUAUCUUAGCCAGCUCGUCUGCGGUUUCGUUGUAGCGCCGAGCGAUGUGGUUGAGCUCGAGCCCGAAGAACUUGUCUUCCAGGCGCCGAACCUCGUCGCAGUAGGCCUCCAUCUUCGGGUCGCGGCAGUGGGAGUUCUUCAUGACUUGGUCGAUGACGAGCUGCGAAUCACCGCGGGCGUCGAGGCGUCUGACCCCUAGCUCGAUGGCGAUCCGCAAUCCGUUGACCAAAGCUUCGUACUCGGCCACAUUGUUGGACGCCGGGAAGUGGAGGCGCAGCACGUAGCGCAAGUGCUUUCCGAGGGGCGAGAUGAAGAGCAGGCCCGCGCCGGCCCCCGUCUUCAUCAGCGACCCGUCGAAAAACAUGGUCCAGAGCUCCGGUUGGAUCGGAGUCGUUGGCAGUUGGGUGUCGACCCAUUCGGCCACGAAAUCCGCCAACACUUAGGACUUGAUGGCCUUCCGAGGGGCGAACGAGAUCGUUUCGCCCAUGAUCUCCACCGCCCACUUUGCGAUCCUGCCCGAGGCCUCUCGGCACUGGAUGAUCUCCCCCAGGGGGAAGGAUGACACCACAGUUACCGGAUGGGACUCGAAGUAGUGUCGUAGCUUCCGCCUUGUCAGGAUCACAGCAUACAGCAGCUUUUGAACUUGUGGGUAGCGGAUCUUAGUCUCGGACAGCACUUCGCUGAUGAAGUAGACCGGCCUCUGAACGGGCAAUGUAUGCCCUUCCUCUUGCCUUUCGACCACAAUCGCGGCGCUAACCACUUGAGUGGUCGCGGCGACGUGGACCAAGAGGGUUUCUCCGUCCGCCGGCGGCACCAAGACUGGCGCCUUUGUAAGGAGCGCCUUCAGGUUGCCGAGGGCUUCCUCGGCCUCGGGGGUCCAAGCGAAACACUCGGCCUUCCUUAAGAGGAGGUACAGAGGCAGACCUCUUUCGCCGAGGCGUGAGAUGAAGCGGCUCAGGGCCGCGAGGCAUCCCAUGACCCCCUGUACCCCUUUUAAGUCCUUGAUGGGUCCCAUGCUGGUGAUGGCCGCAAUCUUCUCCGGGUUGGCUUCGAUGCCUCGCUCGGAGACGAUGAACCCUAGGAGCAUGCCUCGGGGCACCCCGAAGACACACUUCUCAGGAUUAAGCUUGACUCCUUUCGCCUUGAGACACUGGAAUGUCACUUCAAGGUCGGAGAGGAGGUCGGAAGCCUUCCGUGUCUUGACUACGAUGUCAUCGACGUAGGCCUCGACUGUGCGACCGAUGUGUUCGCCGAACACAUGGUUCAUGCACCGCUGGUACGUCGCGCCCGCAUUCCUCAAGCCGAACGGCAUGGUGACAUAGCAGUACAUGCCGAACGGUGUGAUGAAAGAAGUCGCGAGCUGGUCGGACUCUUUCAUCCGAAUCUGGUGAUACCCCGAGUAGGCAUCGAGGAAGGACAGGGUUUCGCACCCAGCAGUGGAAUCCACGAUUUGGUCGAUGCGAGGCAGAGGGUAGGGAACCUUCGGACAUGCUUUGUUGAGACCAGUGUAGUCUACACACAUCCGCCAUUUCCCCCCUUUCUUCCUCACAAGCACAGGGUUGGCAAGCCAUUCAGGAUGGAAUACCUCUUUGAUGAACCCCGCCGCCAUUAGCUUGUGGAUCUCUUCGCCAAUCGCUCUGCGCUUCUCCUCGUCGAAUCGGCGCAGAGGCUGCCUGACGGGUCGGGCUCCGGCCCGAAUAUCCAGCGAGUGCUCGGCGACAUCCCUCGGUACGUCGGGCAUGUCCGAGGGACUCCACGCAAAGACGUCGGCGUUUGCGCGGAGAAAGUCGACGAGCACUGCUUCCUAUUUGGGGUCGAGCCCGGAACCGAUCCGGAUCUGCUUGGUGGUGUCGCCACUGGGGUCGAGGGGGACGGCCUUGACCAUCUCCGCUGGCUCGAAGUUGCCGGCAUGGCGCUUCACGUCUGGGACCUCCUUGGAGAGGUUCUCCAGGUCGGCGAUGAGGGCCUCGGACUCGGCGAGGGCCUCGGCGCACUCCACGCACUCCACGUCGCAUUCGAACGCGUGUUUGUACGUGGGGCCGACGGUGAUGACCCCGUUGGGGCCCGGCAUCUUGAGCUUCAGGUAGGUGUAGUUGGGGACGGCCAUGAACUUCGCGUAGCAUGGCCUCCCUAGCACGGCGUGGUAGGUUCCUCGGAACCCGACCACUUCGAACGUCAGGGUCUCCCUUCGGAAGUUGGAGGGUGUUCCGAAGCAGACUGGGAGGUCGAGUCGCCCGAGGGGCUGGACGCGCUUCCCAGGGAUGAUCCCGUGGAAGGGCGCAGCGCCUGCUCGGACGGAGGACGGAUCGACGCGCAGAAGCUUGAGGGUCUCGGCGUAGAUGAUGUUGAGGCAGCUGCCCCCGUCCAUCAGGACCUUGGUGAGCCUGACAUCGCCGACAACGGGGUCGACGACGAGCGGGUAUUUCCCCGGGCUCGGCACAUGGUCGGGGUGGUCGGCCCGGUCGAAAGUGAUGGGCUUGUCGGACCAGUCUAGGUAGACUGGCGCCGCCACCUUCACCGAGCAGACCUCCCAGCGCUCUUGCUUGUGGUGCCGAGCCGAGGUAUUCGCCGCAUGCCCUCCAUAGAUCAUGAAGCAGUCGCGGACCUCGGGGAACCCCCCUGCUGGGUGAUCUUCGUUCUUGUCGUCGUCGUGGGCCCUGCCACCCUCGGCGGGUGGCCCGGCCCUGUGGAAGUGACGCCGAAGCAUAACGCACUCCUCGAGGGUGUGCUUGACGGGCCCCUGAUGGUAGGGGCACGGCUCCUUGAGCAUCUUGUCGAAGAGGUUCGCACCUCCGGGGGGCUUCCGAGGGUUCUUAUACUCGGCGGCGGCGACAAGGUCCGCGUCGGCGGCGUCGCGUUUCGAUUGCGACUUCUUCUUGCCUUUCUUCUUGGCGCCGCGCGGAGCAGACGCCUCGGGAGCUCCUUCCGAUGGGCGGCCCUGGGGCUGCUUGUCCUUUCGGAAGAUAGCCUCGACCGCCUCCUGGCCGGAGGCGAACUUGGUGGCGAUGUCCAUCAGCUUGCUCGCCCUGGUGGGGGUUUUGCGACCCAGCUUGCUCACCAGGUCGCAGCAAGUGGUGCCGUCGAGGAACGCGCCGAUGACAUCCGAGUCGGUGAUGUUGGGCAGCUCGGUGCGCUGCUUAGAGAAUCGCCGGAUGUAGUCCCGGAGCGACUCCCCCGGCUGUUGCCGGCAGCUUCGAAGGUCCCAGGAAUUCCCGGGGCGCACGUAUGUGCCCUGGAAAUUGCCAGCGAAGGCUUGGACCAAGUCGUCCCAGUUGGAAAUCUGCCCCGGAGGCAGGUGCUCCAACCAGGCGCGAGCAGUGUCGGAGAGGAACAGGGGGAGGUUGCGGAUGAUGAGGUUGUCGUCGUCCGUUCCACCCAGUUGGCAGGCAAGGCGGUAGUCCGCGAGCCACAGUUCCGGUCUCGUUUCCCCCGAGUACUUUGUGAUAGUAGUCGGGGGUCGGAACCGGGUCGGGAAUGGCGCCCGUCGGAUGGCCCGACUGAAGGCCUGCGGACCGGGUGGUUCGGGCGAGGGACUCCGAUCCUCCCCGCUGUCGUAGCGCCCCCCCACGCCUGGGGUGGUAGCCUCGGCGCACCCUUUCGUCGAGGUGAGCCCGACGGUCGCGUCGAUGGUGCUCGUUGCCGAGGUGGCCCGGGGCCGCAGGCGCGGUGUUGCGCGUGCGCCCGGUGUAGACCGAGGCUUCCCGCAUGAAUCGGGAAGUCGCGGCAUGAGGUUCCGAGGGAUAUCCUUGCCUCCGGGAUGCAGUGCUCUCGGCCCGCCGGGCCGCAGCGCCUUCCAGGAGAUUCUUGAGUUCUCCCUGGAUUCGCCGACCCUCGGUGGUUGACGGCUCCGGCAUCGCGCGGAUGAGCAUCGCUGCGGUUGCCAGGUUCUGACCGACCCCGCUGGAUGCGGGCGGCGGCCUGAUCCUGACAUCGUUGGCGACGCGGUGCUGGAGACCUUGGGGCAGAUGACGUAUUUCUCCGGCCAGGGGUUGGCCCACCCAUGCCUGUCCGACGUCCCGACGGAUCGGCUCAAGCGCUCCUGUUCCCUCGUUGAGCCUGGCCUGCGCCUCGCGGACUUGCUCGAGUUGUGGGUCGUAACCCCCCGCCGGAGCGGGGACCACAACUAGCUCCCGUGGGAUGUCGGCGCGAGGCACCGGCCUGGGGAGAUCACCAUCCUCCGGCAUGCCAAGAUGGUUGCCUUCGGUGGGAUCCCCUAGCUCGAUGUGGAAACAUUCGCGGCUUGGGCCGCAGCUCUCGUCGCCAAGGCUGCGGCUUCCAUCGGAACAGUCGGAUAGACAGUAGUCACAUGCGGUCAUGAAGUCCCGCACGGCACUGGGGUUGCCAAGUCCGGAGAAAUCCCAACCGAUGCUGGGAUCGUCAUCUUCCUCGGACCCAGAGGGCCCGUAGGUCGAGACGUCCGUCAGUCGGUCCCAAGGCGACCGCAUACAGAACCUCAGUGGGGUUGCACUCGCCUCAAUGAGAGCGCCCGCCAAAACGAGGUCGUUUGGCGGGUUGAGGCCGAGUCGAAAUGACGCAAGAUGGGAGUUAGUCGUUACCUUUCGGUCGACGAGGAGCGACGUAGUCACAUCGGGGACUGGUUGCGCCGUCAUCUCUGGUUCGAGGGCGACGUCCUGCAGGCUUUCCGCGAGCGCGCCGGCGUCGUCUUCUUGCUCAAGGUCAGCGUGCCGCGGGGGGACGGCGCUCGCCUCCGUCUCGAACGCGAGGUCGACGUCCGGCGUGCCUUCCGUCGGGGCGUCGGGGGCGUCGAUUCGCUCGACGGCCGACGAAGCGCGGCCUCCCGUCUGGCCUUGACGGCUCCGCCUCCUCCUCCGUUGGCGGGGGAGAGAACGGAGCGAGCCCGAAUAUUGCUCUUCCACCACGCGGGGAAGACGUCGUCGAUUCCGCCGCCGGCGGGCGGGUUGUCGGCCGCCAUUGUCGUAGUCGCGCGGCGGUGGAAGAAGUGUCAUGUCGUAGCUGCCGUCGAAGGACAUGAACUCGAGAGUCCCGAAACGAAGCACCGUCCCGGGCCGGAGAGGUUGCUGGAGACUGCCCAUCUGGAGCUUGACGGGGAGCUGUUCGUCAGCACGCAGCCGUGCCCCUACCUGGCGCGCCAACUGUCGGCGUUUCGAGACAGGGGGGUCCCUAAGCCGACGAGUGAGUGUGCUGCGUGCCCCAGCCCAGAUGGGUCGAGCGCGUGGGCGAGCGCGAAGGGGGGAGAGGCGAGGUGGCCGGAGCCGAGCGUGAGAGAGGUGGAAGUCCCGCGGCCUUCGUGUUCGUCCCGCGCCCAGGUCAGGUGCGCUUGCAGUAGGGGGGUUACAAGCGUCCACGCGGGUGAGGGAAGCGAGCGGCCCCAAGAGAGCGCCUGUCCCGUCCUCGGUCCCGCGCGGCCAACCUUCUCUAAGAAGGCCCUGGUCCUCCCUUUUAUAGUCGUAAGGAGAGGAUCCAGGUGUACAAUGGGGGGUGUAGCAGAGUGCUACGUGUCUAGCGGAGGGAGAGCUAGCGCCCUAGGUACAUGCCAAUGUGGCAGCCGGAGAGAUCUAGGCACCCUGCUGGCGUGAUGUCGUGGCUGUCGGAGGUGCGGCGGAGCCUGGUGGAGGGACAGCUGUUGGAGCGGUCGAAUCCCUGCUGACGUCGUCCUGCUUUCGUAAGAGAGCUGGGGGCCGCCGUCGUCAUAGAGCUUGUGGAGCGCCAUCAUUGCCCUCCGGCGGAGCGGGCCGGAUGGGACGCCGGUCUUGUUCUUCGUGACCCGAGUCGAUUCGGGGUAGGAUGAUGAUGGCGCUUCCUGUCGACGUGGCGGUCUGUGCCCUAGGCAGGGCGACGUGGGGGUUCCUCCGAAGCCGAGGUUGAGUCUGCCUUCCGUUGCCGUGGCCGAGCCCGAGCCAUGGGGUCGGGCGAGGCGGAAGUCGUUCGGCCGAGGCCAGGGCGGAGUCCGAGCCCUGGGGUCGGGCGAGGCGGAAGUCGUUCGGCCGAGGCCAGGGCGGAGUCCGAGCCCUGGGGUCGGGCGAGGCGGAAGUCGUUCGGCCGAGGCCAGGGCGGAGUCCGAGCCCUGGGGUCGGGCGAGGCGGAAGUUGUUCGGCCGAGGCCAGGGCGGAGUCCGAGCCCUGGGGUCGGGCGAGGCGGAGUUUCGUCGUCUUCCGGGUCUUAGCCCGAGUCCGAGCCCUGGGGUCGGGCGAAGCGGAGUUUCGUCGUCUUCCGGGUCUUAGCCCGAGUCCGAGCCCUGGGGUCGGGCGGAGCGGAGUUUCGUCGUCUUCCGGGUCUUAGCCCGAGUCCGAGCCCUGGGGUCGGGCGGAGCGGAGUUCGCCGUCUUCCGGGUCUUAGCCCGAGUCCGAGCCCUGGGGUCGGGCGGAGCGGAGUUUCGUCGUCUUCCGGGUCUUAGCCCGAGUCCGAGCCCUGGGGUCGGGCGGGGCGGAGUUCGCCGUCUUCCGGGUCUUAGCCCGAGUCCGAGCCCUGGGGUCGGGCGGGGCGGAGUUCGCCGUGGCGCCUUUGGCAAGGCCUACUGCCUGUCAGACUCACUCUGUCGAGUGGCACUGCAGUCGGAGUGGCGCAGGCGGCGCUGUCCUUCUGUCAGACUGGCCAGUGGAGCGGUAGAGUGACGGCGGUCACCUCGGCUCUGCCGGGGGCGCGUGUCAGGAUAGAGGUGUCAGGCCACCUUUGCGUUAAAUGCCCCUGCAAUUUGGUCAGUCGGUGUGGUGAUUUAGUCAAGGUUGCUUCUGAGCGAAGCCAAGGCCUUGGGCGAGCCGGUGAUGUGUCCGCCAUAAAAAGGGGGCCUCGGGCGAGACGGAAGUCUCUCGAGGUCGGCUGCCUUUGGCCGAGGCUAGGCUCGGGUGAAGCGUGAUCGAGUCACUCGUGUGGACUGAUCCCUGACUUAAUCGUACCCAUCAGGCCUUUGCAGCUUUAUGCUGAUGGGGGUUACCAGCUGAGAAUUAGGCGCCUUGAGGGUACCCCUAAUUAUGGUCCCCGACAAGGUACGCUAACAAAUGGUAACGGAGCUCAGGCCCGCCUGUUUAGGGGAUGGAAUGUCACGAACUAUGUGUAGCCUGGGUUAGU
RNAcentral lists this long non-coding RNA (14445 nucleotides) under Zea mays. RNAcentral's name for it is "long non-coding RNA (ZMAY_LNC003399)". Lineage: Eukaryota; Viridiplantae; Streptophyta; Magnoliopsida; Poales; Poaceae. The record is from RNAcentral.